Molecule: ribosomal RNA, 468 nt
Filed under: uncultured bacterium
Lineage: Bacteria
Description: partial 16S ribosomal RNA
Rfam family: Bacterial small subunit ribosomal RNA
Source: RNAcentral
GACGAACGCUGGCGGCGUGCUUAACACAUGCCAGUCGAACGGAAAGGCCCUGCUUUUGUGGGGUGCUCGAGUGGCGAACGGGUGAGUAACACGUGAGUAACCUGCCCUUGACUUUGGGAUAACUUCAGGAAACUGGGGCUAAUACCGGAUAGGAGCUCCUGCUGCAUGGUGGGGGUUGGAAAGUUUCGGCGGUUGGGGAUGGACUCGCGGCUUAUCAGCUUGUUGGUGGGGUAGUGGCUUACCAAGGCUUUGACGGGUAGCCGGCCUGAGAGGGUGACCGGCCACAUUGGGGCUGAGAUACGGCCCAGACUCCUACGGGAGGCAGGAGUGGGGAAUAUUGCACAAUGGGCGGAAGCCUGAUGCAGCAACGCCGCGUGCGGGAUGACGGCCUUCGGGUUGUAAACCGCUUUCGCCUGUGACGAAGCGUGAGUGACGGUAAUGGGUAAAGAAGCACCGGCUAACUACGUG